AAAAAGCGUAACAAGGUCUCCGUUGGUGAACCAGCGGAGGGAUCAUUACUGAGUUUACGCUCUACAACCCUUUGUGAACAUACCUAUAACUGUUGCUUCGGCGGGUAGGGUCUCCGUGACCCUCCCGGCCUCCCGCCCCCGGGCGGGUCGGCGCCCGCCGGAGGAUAACCAAACUCUGAUUUAACGACGUUUCUUUUGAGUGGUACAAGCAAAUAAUCAAAACUUUUAACAACGGAUCUCUUGGUUCUGGCAUCGAUGAAGAACGCAGCGAAAUGCGAUAAGUAAUGUGAAUUGCAGAAUUCAGUGAAUCAUCGAAUCUUUGAACGCACAUUGCGCCCGCCAGCAUUCUGGCGGGCAUGCCUGUUCGAGCGUCAUUUCAACCCUCAAGCUCUGCUUGGUGUUGGGGCCCUACGGCUGACGUAGGCCCUCAAAGGUAGUGGCGGACCCUCCCGGAGCCUCCUUUGCGUAGUAACUUUACGUCUCGCACUGGGAUCCGGAGGGACUCUUGCCGUAAAACCCCCAAUUUUCCAAAGGUGACCUCGGAUCAGGAGAAUCCCC
This 558-nucleotide ribosomal RNA is filed under the name Colletotrichum sp. G9. RNAcentral's name for it is "eukaryotic LSU rRNA". The stretch from base 221 to 374 matches the Rfam family "5.8S ribosomal RNA". The record is from RNAcentral. Lineage: Eukaryota; Fungi; Ascomycota; Sordariomycetes; Glomerellales; Glomerellaceae.